CAGCCGCCACGGGAAUACGAAGGGGGCUAGCGUUGUUCGGAAUUACUGGGCGUAAAGCGCACGUAGGCGGAUAUUUAAGUCAGGGGUGAAAUCCCGCAGCUCAACUGCGGAACUGCCUUUGAUACUGGGUAUCUUGAGUAUGGAAGAGGUUAGUGGAAUUGCGAGUGUAGAGGUGAAAUUCGUAGAUAUUCGCAGGAACACCAGUGGCGAAGGCGGCUAACUGGUCCAUAACUGACGCUGAGGUGCGAAAGCGUGGGGAGCAAACAGGAUUAGAUACCCCUGUAGUCCCUGUCUCUUAUAA
Molecule: ribosomal RNA, 301 nt
Filed under: uncultured bacterium
Lineage: Bacteria
Description: partial 16S ribosomal RNA
Rfam family: Bacterial small subunit ribosomal RNA
Source: RNAcentral